AUUGAACGCUGGCGGCAUGCCUUACACAUGCAAGUCGAACGGCAGCACGGGAGCAAUCCUGGUGGCGAGUGGCGAACGGGUGAGUAAAGUAUCGGAACGUGCCCAGUCGUGGGGGAUAACGUAGCGAAAGUUACGCUAAUACCGCAUACGAUCUAUGGAUGAAAGCGGGGGAUCGCAAGACCUCGCGCGAUUGGAGCGGCCGAUAUCAGAUUAGGUAGUUGGUGGGGUAAAGGCUCACCAAGCCGACGAUCUGUAGCUGGUCUGAGAGGACGACCGGCAACACGGGGACUGAGACACGGCCCAGACUCCAACGGGAGGCAGCAGUGGGGAAUUUUGGACAAUGGGCGAAAGCCUGAUCCAGCCAUGCCGCGUGCAGGAUGAAGGCCUUCGGGUUGUAAACUGCUUUUGUACGGAACGAAAAGGUUUGGCCUAAUAAGCUGAGCUCAUGACGGUACCGUAGGAAUAAGCACCGGCUAACUACGUGCCAGCCGCCGCCGUAA
Molecule: ribosomal RNA, 500 nt
Filed under: uncultured bacterium
Lineage: Bacteria
Description: partial 16S ribosomal RNA
Rfam family: Bacterial small subunit ribosomal RNA
Source: RNAcentral